AAUUCUCAACCUCACCAACUUUGUGUUGUGUGAAGGCUUGGAUGUGGGGGUUUGCAGGUCCGCGUACGUGGUCUGCUCCUCUGAAAUGUAUUAGUGGGUUUGGUCCCCUAAUCUAUUGGUGUGAUAAUUAUCUACGCCGUGGAUUGGGAAGGCCGUCUAUAGACUCGCUUCUAACCGUCCUCACGGACAAUCAUUGACAA
Molecule: unclassified non-coding RNA, 200 nt
Filed under: uncultured Coprinopsis
Lineage: Eukaryota; Fungi; Basidiomycota; Agaricomycetes; Agaricales; Psathyrellaceae
Description: sequence contains ITS2
Source: RNAcentral